CUAGGAUGAACGCUAGCGACAGGCUAACACAUGCAAGUCGAGGGGCAGCAUAAAAGUAGCAAUACUUGGUGGCGACCGGCGCACGGGUGAGUAACGCGUAUGCAACCUACCUAUCAGAGGGGAAUAACCCGGCGAAAGUCGGACUAAUACCGCAUAAACAGGGGCACCGCAUGGUGAUAUUUGUUAAAGAAAUUCGCUGAUAGAUGGGCAUGCGUUCCAUUAGGUAGUUGGUGAGGUAACGGCUCACCAAGCCGACGAUGGAUAGGGGAACUGAGAGGUUGGUCCCCCACACUGGUACUGAGACACGGACCAGACUCCUACGGGAGGCAGCAGUGAGGAAUAUUGGUCAAUGGGCGAGAGCCUGAACCAGCCAAGUCGCGUGAAGGAAGAAGGAUCUAUGGUUCGUAAACUUCUUUUGCAGGGGAAUAAAGUGCAGGACGUGUCCUGUUUUGUAUGUACCCUGAGAAUAAGGAUCGGCUAACUCCGUGCCAGCCGCCGC
RNAcentral lists this ribosomal RNA (499 nucleotides) under uncultured bacterium. RNAcentral describes it as "bacterial SSU rRNA". It matches the Rfam family "Bacterial small subunit ribosomal RNA", at positions 26 to 518 of the family's 1533-position model. The record is from RNAcentral.